RNAcentral lists this ribosomal RNA (501 nucleotides) under Staphylococcus sp. RNAcentral's name for it is "bacterial SSU rRNA". It matches the Rfam family "Bacterial small subunit ribosomal RNA", at positions 20 to 503 of the family's 1533-position model. The record is from RNAcentral. Lineage: Bacteria; Bacillati; Bacillota; Bacilli; Caryophanales; Staphylococcaceae.
UGGCUCAGGAUGAACGCUGGCGGCGUGCCUAAUACAUGCAAGUCGAGCGAACAGAUAAGGAGCUUGCUCCUUUGACGUUAGCGGCGGACGGGUGAGUAACACGUGGAUAACCUACCUAUAAGACUGGGAUAACUUCGGGAAACCGGAGCUAAUACCGGAUAACAUAUUGAACCGCAUGGUUCAAUAGUGAAAGGCGGCUUUGCUGUCACUUAUAGAUGGAUCCGCGCCGUAUUAGCUAGUUGGUAAGGUAACGGCUUACCAAGGCAACGAUACGUAGCCGACCUGAGAGGGUGAUCGGCCACACUGGAACUGAGACACGGUCCAGACUCCUACGGGAGGCAGCAGUAGGGAAUCUUCCGCAAUGGGCGAAAGCCUGACGGAGCAACGCCGCGUGAGUGAUGAAGGUCUUCGGAUCGUAAAACUCUGUUAUCAGGGAAGAACAAAUGUGUAAGUAACUGUGCACAUCUUGACGGUACCUGAUCAGAAAGCCACGGCUAACUA